GUGGCUGACUGGUUACGGUGUUCGCUUUGUAAGCGAAUGGUCCUGGGUUCAAUUCCCAUC
Molecule: transfer RNA, 60 nt
Filed under: Culex quinquefasciatus (southern house mosquito)
Lineage: Eukaryota; Metazoa; Arthropoda; Insecta; Diptera; Culicidae
Rfam family: tRNA
About the family: Transfer RNA (tRNA) molecules are approximately 80 nucleotides in length. Their secondary structure includes four short double-helical elements and three loops (D, anti-codon, and T loops).
Source: Rfam by way of RNAcentral